This 252-nucleotide unclassified non-coding RNA is filed under the name Hevea brasiliensis (rubber tree). Lineage: Eukaryota; Viridiplantae; Streptophyta; Magnoliopsida; Malpighiales; Euphorbiaceae. The record is from RNAcentral.
GGAGAUUUUCUCUCGCAAGAAAUUAUCUAAAGGGUACAAGUUCAGUGUCCUUGGCAUCAGAGAAAGCAGAAAAUCUUGUUAUUCAAGCAGCACGGGAAUUCUUUUUCUCAGCUUCUAGUCUGUCAUGCUCAGAAAUCUGGAAGGCAAAGGAAUGCCUAAAUUUGUUUCCAAGCAGCAGACAUGUUAAAGCAGAGGCUGAUAUGAUUGAGGCACUAACUGUUAAGCUUCCAAACCUUGGAGUGACUCUUCUAC